AAUAGCUUGGUGGCUGAUUCUGGGAGAAAAUAAAUGAAAAAAAUUUCCCUAAUCCGUUACUUCCCCUAAUUUUAGUUCUCUCGUAUCUACUCUCUCCGUCUUCCACACCACCGAUGCCUUCAACUCAGUCCUCCACAGACGCUAGCAAUGAAAUCUUCCAACGAUGUCGGCCAAUCACUUAUAUACCCACUAUCUCUUCAUCCCCCUUCAGAUUUCUCAUGGCCCUUAUUUCUCACUCUCUUUCCCAAAAUCAUCCUUCUCUGCAAUGUGCUCAGCCACAUACCAACUCUGAUUCAAAGUAACGAGGCGGUCGACGACCCCUCAACCACUCCUCAUCUGCUGCCUCUAUGUUAGCUAUUAAAGACUUGAAGCCCCCUUCAGACAACCAAGAGACCAACGCUAGGCUGUGAAUCUAUUGUUGCAGAUGGCAGGUUUGAGCAUCCUUUGUUUUCCCUCUCUUUAUUAGAAAAAAAAAAUUGUGCCACAAUUUUAUUUAUUUCUUGUGCCUUUUCAAAAUUCUUGUUUGGCUCAUUUUCUUUUGGAACUUAAUUUUUAAAGGCCCUGCAUUAUAAAUUUUUUCCCUUCUCUUUUCAUAUAUUGGAGGACUUCAAUGAAUUCACUUAAAUUGAUAAGGUCUCUAGUCUGCAAGAGAUAUUUGGUUAUAUACUGUGAAUAACUACAUGUUAUUGAUGUAAUUUUGUAUUCCCCCGUUUCCAUUUUAAAAGAUCUUUUUGGCAAUGUUUAAAUUUCAACCGAGAAGAAGCGAGUAUUCUAAAGGUUGCUGUUAUACAUUAUACACAUGUCCUUUGGUUGAGUUUUUCUAACAUGACUAGGAUUUUGAAGUUGGACAUUUAUGUUUUUUGGUUUCCUGCUUGUAGGAAAAUGCCUAAGAAAAGAGUGGGUCUAACAUGACUAGGAUUUUGAAGUUGGACUUUUGUAUCUGAUUUUCAAACAUCUUAGAUGAAAUUUUACUCUCAUUUUUGUCUAAUGGAGAUUGUGAAUUGGUAAUCAGGUUGAGGAGCUAUUUAAAAACAUACAUUGCCUAUUUGAUUUGGAUUUUCUCUUUUUCUCUGGUUUGAUGUAGCAGUAGCCAUUUUGAUUUGGCUAGAAGAUUUAGCUAUAAGGAAUUGCUUUCUGCUUUUUAAAACCAAACCAAAUUCUCAUUUGAAGCAAUAAGUUUCUGGGAAUCUGUUAUACACAUGAACUUAUUUGAUGACUGCAAAUACCUAUAUUAAUUUCUUGGAUAUUGAUUUGGAAAAGGGAGUGAAGGAGAGUGAUUUCUAAACUGAUUUUUAAGAAAUUGGGAGUUAUAUUCAUUAACGAAAAGAGGUAUACCUCAUUUGUGCUUAAAAAUUUGUUCCCAUUAUCCAAUUGAAACUUUUAGCUAAACAAUGUGUAGUUGAAGAUAAACAAGGUUGAUCUUUCUCUUUAUUUCAGCGUAGUAUGGUGCUCCUAUUUAUGUGUUUGUAAAUGUGCAAGAUGAACUAUAAUAAGAAGAAGAAAUCUUGUUAGGCACUGAGGUCUUCCAGUUUAGGUUGUGAUUGAUUACAAAAUGAUGGCAAUCUAGUAAUCACAGUAAUGAUUAUAGUGAUUUAGAUUGAUAAGGUAGUGUUUUGUGCUUUAACUUUCAAAUGAUAUGGCAUUGGCAUUGCAGGUGAGUUAGAGUUCUUUCUUUGUAGGAAGUGCAAUUAAGUCUUAAGGUGCUUGGGUAUUGCAGCUUGUUUUCAUUUUACCUUUGCUGCUGCCCGUUUGGUCCACAGCAUAAUUUUUCUGUUUGAGCAAUUAGAUAUAUCAUUGUCCUUGUCUUUUUAUUAAUUUUUAACACUAGAAAGAAUCAUAUUAUAAAUUAAAGCUGGUCCUAAACCAAAAUACCUGCAUAGCUCUGCCAAGGACUUCUGCACUAUUGUUGUUAUUGUUGUUAGUUCACUAAACAGAUUGAAUAGAAUAUAGGAUGCUUCCUUUGUGAGAGAAAGGUCUAUAAACUCUAUGUACUCAUAUAAGCAUACCCACUCUCUUUCCCCAAAGAUUGCUGAUGGCUUGAGUUAUUUUCCACUCUCUGACCCCAGACCAUCUACCCUUCAGUUCUCUUUAUCUUAUAAUGUGUUUAGAACAAUGUCAUUUAGGAGUCUUUACUUUACUGGGGUAGUAUCAUGUUUUUCCAUGUCAGAUUUAUUUGAGGAGGUGGAUGGAUUUGGUUUGGGGUUUUGGACAGAGGACCAUAUGAGGUAAGAACCUCUUCUUCUCAUUACACUCGGUUCCAUUUAAGGUGUGGAUUAUACUUUGGAUUUUAUGAUUCAUGUUUUCUAAUGGGUUUGUACCAUGCAUAAUAUUAGUCUUUACAUUGGUUUUUCGUAACUGUUUUCCUUCUUUAUUUUUGGUAAUUGAUGAUUUGAUUUAUGUUAUUAUCGCAAAGGUAUGAUUAGACAGUCGAUAUUGAGAGGUAUGAAAAAUGAAUUCAAAUUUUUUUAAGUUGGUUCGUUGAUGACCAGUAAUCAGUUUUCUUAUGUCAAUCCAAACUCUUUUUUGUUGGCUUAUUUAGUUAAGAUUGUGAAUUUCAGCUUUGGUAUAUAUAUAUAUAUAUAUAUUAAAAAUUUUAAAUUUCUUGGUUUUGGCAUCUUCUUGACCAUUGACAUUUCCUUAUUUUGUUUCUUUUGUAAAGGAAGAUGAUUGAUGAGUUUGAGAAGGUCAAGCAAACAAUUGGCAGUGUUUGGGAAUUCCUCGAUAUUAGAUCACAGCCCCUAUACCACAAGUGUUAAAGAUCAUGACUACAAAACUUGGGGAUACAAAGGGCAUAGAGUGGAGAAAUAAUGAUUGCAGAACUUGGGUUUACAAAGGGCAAGAAUAUAUGGGGCUUGGCCUCCAGUCUUUCAAUGGAGAGUUCUUCACUCGGUUAUGUUAUGUCUACUAUUUUUGGAUAUGUUAUGUGUACUUGAAUGACUAGUAUGCUUGUGUACUUUGGAAUGGGAGAAAUUUUUAUUCAUGUAAUUUUCUAUU
Molecule: non-coding RNA, 2994 nt
Organism: Prunus avium (sweet cherry)
Lineage: Eukaryota; Viridiplantae; Streptophyta; Magnoliopsida; Rosales; Rosaceae
Source: RefSeq, a predicted model, not a curated record